GAGUAUAAGUUGGAACUGGGCUCUGUCUGCCCAUCACAUCAAAGGCCAACAUGAAGACAGGCACUAUUUUUGUUCUGGUGGCUUUCAUCAUGGUGGGGAUGGAGGUGGCCUGCGCUCAGAGACCUCCUCUUCGAGGACGACAGAGACCUGGAGUCUGCCCAGAAGUGCCCAAAGGGAUGGCUGGGAUUUGUGCUGAAAUGUGCUCAGGGGAUGAAUCUUGUCCCAAAGGAAUGAAAUGCUGCAGCAAUGGGUGUGGUCAUGUCUGCAAACUUCCUGUCCCCAAAAAGGGUGGCUCUGGUGACUAUGUGAAAGGUGGACCAGACGUUUACUGAGCGUGCCUGGAGACCAGCCCCAGAAGAUUUUUUGUGAGUCAGUAAAUCCGAUGCUUGGCACAACAGUCAGACUCUUCUAUAUCCAUUCCUGGCUAUUUCCUGCCCCUGAAAUUGCAGCCUUGGAAGAUGAAGCUCUAAAAUGGUGGAAUGGCUACUUUCUAAAAAGCUUGUUUCCAAAAUAAACUCUCUGUGGCAUUA
Molecule: RNA transcript, 530 nt
Organism: Camelus dromedarius (Arabian camel)
Lineage: Eukaryota; Metazoa; Chordata; Mammalia; Artiodactyla; Camelidae
Exons: 3
Source: RefSeq, a predicted model, not a curated record